UUGGCGAGGUGUUGGAGGGUGGGCACUAUGUAAUAAUAUCACAGUGUUUUAACAACUUUGAACAACUGAAUCUGUUUCGGAAGCUUGUAUUUCAUUUAGCACGUCAAUCAUUUAUAAAAACACUGAAAAUAUUUCUUCUGGAAUUGCUUCAUUUAUUAUAAAAACAGCAUUUUU
Molecule: long non-coding RNA, 174 nt
Organism: Thalassophryne amazonica
Lineage: Eukaryota; Metazoa; Chordata; Actinopteri; Batrachoidiformes; Batrachoididae
Exons: 3
Source: RefSeq, a predicted model, not a curated record